UUGGAGGGCAAGUCUGGUGCCAGCAGCCGCGGUAAUUCCAGCUCCAAUAGCGUAUAUUAAAGUUGUUGCAGUUAAAAAGCUCGUAGUUGAAUUUCGGGAUCAAAUUGUCGGUCGUGCCUCGGUACGCACUGGUAUUAUUGGUUCCUACCUUCUGAAGAACCGCGAUGUCAUUAAUUUGGUGUCGUGGGGAAUCAGGACUGUUACUUUGAAAAAAUUAGUGUGUUUAAAGCAGGCUUACGCUUGAAUACAUUAGCAUGGAAUAAUGAAAUAGGACGUUUGAUUCUAUUUUGUUGGUUUCUAGGAUUGACGUAAUGAUUAAUAGGGAUAGUUGGGGGCAUUAGUAUUCAAUUGUCAGAGGUGAAAUUCUUGGAUUUAUUGAAGACUAACUACUGCGAAAGCAUUUGCCAAGGAUGUUUUCAUUAAUCAAGAGCGAAAGUUAGGGGAUCGAAGACGAUCAGAUACCGUCGUAGUCUUAACCAUAAACUAUGCCGACUAGGGAUCGGAUGAUGUUAAUUUUUUAAUGACUCAUUCGGCGCCUUACGGGAAAC
RNAcentral lists this ribosomal RNA (548 nucleotides) under uncultured Glomeromycotina. RNAcentral describes it as "SSU rRNA". It matches the Rfam family "Eukaryotic small subunit ribosomal RNA", at positions 548 to 1098 of the family's 1831-position model. Lineage: Eukaryota; Fungi; Glomeromycota. The record is from RNAcentral.